UUUCCUACGGGAGGCAGCAGUGGGGAAUAUUGCACAAUGGGCGAAAGCCUGAUGCAGCAACGCCGCGUGAGCGAUGAAGGCCUUCGGGUCGUAAAGCUCUGUCCUCAAGGAAGAUAAGGACGUACUUGAGGAGGAGCCCCGUAUACGG
Molecule: ribosomal RNA, 148 nt
Filed under: uncultured bacterium
Lineage: Bacteria
Description: partial 16S ribosomal RNA
Rfam family: Bacterial small subunit ribosomal RNA
Source: RNAcentral